AUAACCGCCUGAAUCUUGUCUCCUACGUUUCCUUUUAUGUCAAAACAAUGCCACAAAACGCAGAGCAAAAUAAUUCUUCUUUAGGCAAGCAUGUGACGUCUGCGUGCUGAUUCGUAGGAAACUGGGCUCUUCAAUGGGCCUUAUUUUCGGCCUCUUGUUUAAAACUUUCUAGAUAAGCUCUUCCCUUGUGUUAUAGCUGAAAGCUCUUCCCAUGGUUUUUAACUUUAAGGGGUAGGUAAUUUGGUUUAUUUUCGGUUUCGGAUUGGAUUAGGUUUAUUUGGUUGGUAAUAAACUAGAUGGAUCCAAAAUCAAAGGUAGUAUUAUUCGGUUUAGUUAUGUUUGGUUUGGAUUUGGUUCGAAAAACGAAACAAAUUAAAUACAAUAGAGCAUGAAACCAAACUUACCGUCAUUUGAAGAUUGAUAUGGAGACUACA
Arabidopsis thaliana (thale cress) is the source of this 434-nucleotide long non-coding RNA. RefSeq annotates it as other RNA. The transcript has a single exon. The record is from RefSeq. Lineage: Eukaryota; Viridiplantae; Streptophyta; Magnoliopsida; Brassicales; Brassicaceae.